Molecule: ribosomal RNA, 447 nt
Filed under: uncultured bacterium
Lineage: Bacteria
Description: SSU rRNA
Rfam family: Bacterial small subunit ribosomal RNA
Source: RNAcentral
AGAGCGAACGCUGGCGGCAGGCCUAACACAUGCAAGUCGAGCGCCCGUAGCAAUACGGGAGCGGCAGACGGGAUAGUAACACGUGGGAACGCGCCCUUCGGUUCGGAAUAACUCAGGGAAACUUGAGCUAAUACCGGAUACGCCCUUACGGGGAAAGAUUUAUUGCCGAAGGAACGGCCCGCGUCCGAUUAGCUAGUUGGUGAGGUAAUGGCUCACCAAGGCGACGAUCGGUAGCUGGUCUGAGAGGAUGACCAGCAUCACUGGGACUGAGACACGGCCCAGACUCCUACGGGAGGCAGCAGUGGGGAAUAUUGGACAAUGGGCGCAAGCCUGAUCCAGCCAUGCCGCGUGGAUGAUGAAGGCCUUAGGGUUGUAAAGUCCUUUUAACUGGGAAGAUAAUGACGGUACCCGUAGAAUAAGCCCGGCUAACUUCGCGCCAGCAGCCGC